This 591-nucleotide long non-coding RNA is filed under the name Monodelphis domestica (gray short-tailed opossum). RNAcentral describes it as "lncRNA (ENSMODG00000044621.1)". Lineage: Eukaryota; Metazoa; Chordata; Mammalia; Didelphimorphia; Didelphidae. The record is from RNAcentral.
AUGUACAAGUAUUGUCUCAUUUUAUACUCUCAACAUAGUCACUGGGAAGGGAGGAAGGGAGGAAGGGAGGGAGGAAAGAAGGAAGGAAGGAAGGAAGGAAGGAAGGAAGGAAGGAAGGAAGGAAGGAAGGAAGGAAGGAAGGAAGGAAGGAAGGAAGGAAGGAAGGAAGGAAGGAAGGAAGGAAGGAAGGAAGGAAGGGAGGAAGGGAGGGAGGGAGGAAGGAAGGAAAGAAAGGAAGGAAGGAAAGAAAGAAAGAAAGAAAGAAAGAAAGAAAGAAAGAAAGAAAGAAAGAAAGAAAGAAAGAAAGAAAGAAAGAAAGAAAGAAAGAAAGAAAGAGGAAGGGAGGGAAGGAAGGAAGGAGGGAGGGAGGGAGGGAGGGAGGGAAAGAAGGAAGGAAGGAAGGAGGGAGGGAAAGAAGUAGGGAAAGAAGGAAGAAGGAAAAAGAAAAGAAACCCCGCCUCUCUUGGAAACCACAGGCUGAUAGGAGAGGCAACAUGCAAGCCACUAUGGAGAGAAAAGGUACAAUCUAUACAAGUUAAAUUUCUGCUGGUCUCAUAGGCACUGAAAGCACUCAGAUUAAGGAGACCUGGG